Long non-coding RNA from Pezoporus occidentalis (night parrot), 599 nucleotides. RefSeq lists it as uncharacterized. The transcript is spliced from 3 exons. Lineage: Eukaryota; Metazoa; Chordata; Aves; Psittaciformes; Psittacidae. The record is from RefSeq and is a predicted model, not a curated record.
CUCACUGUUGGCUGACGGAAGCACACAAUGAUUAAUUAGUGAUGGGCCAAUUCUGUAUCAUUGAAUAUGGACUUGCCACUUCCCUGGAUGUUUCAUCUCCUUCAUUCCUUUGACCAGCCAAAAUUUAUUCCAGCAUACUGGGCACUUGCUGUGUUACCAGGAGCAGCAGCCAAAUUAUCAGAUCUGCAAGUGGUAGAAAGCAGCCACCAUGGAAAGAGACGCAGCAGCUGAGAAGAGCUCAGCCGAGCCCUUGGGAGGUGUGUCCACAGAGAAAGGAGUAGGGCCCAGUCCUCCUGACCAAGGGGUGUAGGUUGGGACACUCAGCUGGGCUGAACACCCACCAGCUUCGUUUCUAUAGUUUCUUGCCCGGCAGCGUCUGUGGAGGUGAUGCUGUAAAUACUCCGAGUUGGAUUUUCUUCCUUUAUGGCACUUGCAUUUUAAUAGAAUACUCAUUUUCCUCCCUUUUUUCCGGGAGGCAGCCGGUGUUGUACUACAUGCCUCCAUAAGAGAGUGAAUAACAUGCCAUCAGCUUUACAACAUGACAUUAGUAUAUGCACAAAACCUUCUAGGGAGCAGUGUGUUAAACCAAAAUUGCAUUG